This 400-nucleotide ribosomal RNA is filed under the name uncultured bacterium. RNAcentral's name for it is "bacterial SSU rRNA". It matches the Rfam family "Bacterial small subunit ribosomal RNA", at positions 355 to 772 of the family's 1533-position model. The record is from RNAcentral.
UGGGGAAUCUUGCACAAUGGGGGAAACCCUGAUGCAGCGACGCCGCGUGAGCGAUGAAGCCCUUCGGGGUGUAGAGCUCUUUCGGCUGGAACGAUAAUGACGGUACCAGCAGAAGAAGCUGCGGCUAACUACGUGCCAGCAGCCGCGGUAAUACGUAGGCAGCGAGCGUUGUUCGGAGUUACUGGGCGUAGAGAGUGCGUAGGCGGUGCGGCAAGUCUGGUGUGAAAUCUCCCGGCUUAACUGGGAGGGUGCGCUAGAAACUGCCGUGCUAGAGUGUGGGAGAGGUAAGCGGAAUUCCUGGUGUAGCGGUGAAAUGCGUAGAUAUCAGGAGGAACACCUGCGGUGUAGACAGCUUACUGGACCAUAACUGACGCUGAGGCACGAAAGCGUGGGUAGCGAA